CCUACGGGGGGCAGCAGUGAGGAAUAUUGGUCAAUGGACGAGAGUCUGAACCAGCCAAGUAGCGUGAAGGAUGACGGCCCUAUGGGUUGUAAACUUCUUUUAUAUGGGAAUAAAAUGUUCCACGUGUGGGAUUUUGUAUGUACCAUAUGAAUAAGGAUCGGCUAACUCCGUGCCAGCAGCCGCGGUAAGACGGAGGAUCCGAGCGUUAUCCGGAGUUAUUGGGUUGAAAGGGAGCGUAGGUGGAUUGUUAAGUCAGUUGUGCAAGUUUGCGGCUCAACCGUAAAAUUGCAGUUGAACCUGGCAGUCUUGAGUACAGUCGCGGUGGGCGUCCUUCGUGGUGUAGCGGU
RNAcentral lists this ribosomal RNA (347 nucleotides) under uncultured bacterium. RNAcentral describes it as "partial 16S ribosomal RNA". It matches the Rfam family "Bacterial small subunit ribosomal RNA", at positions 338 to 682 of the family's 1533-position model. The record is from RNAcentral.